UGGGGAAUAUUGGACAAUGGGCGCAAGCCUGAUCCAGCAAUGCCGCGUGAGUGAUGAAGGCCUUAGGGUUGUAAAGCUCUUUCGCACGCGACGAUGAUGACGGUAGCGUGAGAAGAAGCCCCGGCUAACUUCGUGCCAGCAGCCGCGGUAAUACGAAGGGGGCUAGCGUUGUUCGGAAUUACUGGGCGUAAAGGGCGCGUAGGCGGCCUGUUUAGUCAGAAGUGAAAGCCCCGGGCUCAACCUGGGAAUAGCUUUUGAUACUGGCAGGCUUGAGUUCCGGAGAGGAUGGUGGAAUUCCCAGUGUAGAGGUGAAAUUCGUAGAUAUUGGGAAGAACACCGGUGGCGAAGGCGGCCAUCUGGACGGACACUGACGCUGAGGCGCGAAAGCGUGGGGAGCAAACAGGAUUAGAUACCCGUGGUAGUCCACGCCGUAAACGAUGAAUGCUAGACGUCGGGGUGCAUGCACUUCGGUGUCGCCGCUAACGCAUUAAGCAUUCCGCCUGGGGAGUACGGCCGCAAGGUUAAAACUUAAAGGAAUUGACGGGGUCAUAGCUGUUUCCU
Molecule: ribosomal RNA, 561 nt
Filed under: uncultured bacterium
Lineage: Bacteria
Description: partial 16S ribosomal RNA
Rfam family: Bacterial small subunit ribosomal RNA
Source: RNAcentral